AGUGAACGCUGGCGGUAGGCCUAACACAUGCAAGUCGAACGGCAGCACAGUAAGAGCUUGCUCUUACGGGUGGCGAGUGGCGGACGGGUGAGGAAUACAUCGGAAUCUACUUUUUCGUGGGGGAUAACGUAGGGAAACUUACGCUAAUACCGCAUACGACCUACGGGUGAAAGCAGGGGAUCUUCGGACCUUGCGCGAUUGAAUGAGCCGAUGUCGGAUUAGCUAGUUGGCGGGGUAAAGGCCCACCAAGGCGACGAUCCGUAGCUGGUCUGAGAGGAUGAUCAGCCACACUGGAACUGAGACACGGUCCAGACUCCUACGGGAGGCAGCAGUGGGGAAUAUUGGACAAUGGGCGCAAGCCUGAUCCAGCAAUACCGCGUGGGUGAAGAAGGCGUUCGGGUUGUAAAGCCCUUUUGUUGGGAAAGAAAAGCAGCAGGUUAAUACCCCGCUGUUCUGACGGUACCCAAAGAAUAAGCACCGGCUAACUUCGUG
This 492-nucleotide ribosomal RNA is filed under the name uncultured bacterium. Its description in RNAcentral is "partial 16S ribosomal RNA". It matches the Rfam family "Bacterial small subunit ribosomal RNA", at positions 29 to 507 of the family's 1533-position model. The record is from RNAcentral.